GAUGAACGCUGGCGGCGUGCCUAAUACAUGCAAGUCGAGCGAACAGACGAGGAGCUUGCUCCUCUGACGUUAGCGGCGGACGGGUGAGUAACACGUGGAUAACCUACCUAUAAGACUGGGAUAACUUCGGGAAACCGGAGCUAAUACCGGAUAAUAUAUUGAACCGCAUGGUUCAAUAGUGAAAGACGGUUUUGCUGUCACUUAUAGAUGGAUCCGCGCCGCAUUAGCUAGUUUGUAAGGUAACGGCUUACCAGGGCAACGAUGCGUAGCCGACCUGAGAGGGUGAUCGGCCACACUGGAACUGAGACACGGUCCAGACUCCUACGGGAGGCAGCAGUAGGGAAUCUUCCGCAAAGGGCGAAAGCCUGACGGAGCAACGCCGCGUGAGUGAUGAAGGUCUUCGGAUCGUAAAACUCUGUUAUUAGGGAAGAACAAAUGUGUAAGUAACUAUGCACGUCUUGACGGUACCUAAUCAGAAAGCCACGGCUAACUACGUG
RNAcentral lists this ribosomal RNA (497 nucleotides) under uncultured bacterium. RNAcentral describes it as "partial 16S ribosomal RNA". It matches the Rfam family "Bacterial small subunit ribosomal RNA", at positions 28 to 507 of the family's 1533-position model. The record is from RNAcentral.